Eurytemora carolleeae is the source of this 1203-nucleotide long non-coding RNA. RefSeq lists it as uncharacterized. The transcript is spliced from 3 exons. The record is from RefSeq and is a predicted model, not a curated record. NCBI's taxonomy places the organism in Eukaryota, Metazoa, Arthropoda, Copepoda, Calanoida, Temoridae.
AAGUGACUGAAUAUAACACUUUUUGAGUAAAAAAACGACGUUAUCUUUUACAGUUAUGAUCAGAUGAAGCUUUCAAAGUCUUCCGAUGUAAAUCAGACAUUGCUACCUUUAUAAAUUAAUGUUUAUUUCUUUCCUAAACGGUAUAUUCACUCAACAAUUUAAAAACUGUCGUUGCCCGGCCAUUAAGGUUCCAUGAAAAGCACAGAAAAAAAGUAUAUUCAUUUCUUUUGAUCUUUUUAUUAUGAACUUUGACUUGUUUAUUAUGAUCAACAUAUUUUUAACUUUGACUGUGGAAAGGUUGUAACUGAUUACAAGCUUGUGCGUAAGUAUGCUCCGCACUAUUCUGAAACAAGUCGUCUUCUUUUCUCCAUGAAACAAGGUCUACAGUUCUGGGUCGACAAACAUCAUUUUAGAGAUGGAAAGAUGGUGAUUUCCUGUGAUGGCAGUAUUCCUGGUAUUUACAACAUGUCAUCACAAAGCUAUGUCAUAGGAAGGUACACUGAACCUCUGCAGUUUCUGGAGACAAGAUCAGAAGCCAUGUCUCCUCAACCAACAAUUCUUCAUAUCCUCAGCUUGCAUUUAUUAAAUGUCGUCUUUCAUUUGAACAAACGUAUUAUUUUGACAUAGUUCACAUAGAACUCUUUAAACCAAACAAUAACAUAUUUACUUGUUAAUUGUGAAGAUUUAUAAAUUUCUUUGGGGAAAAAAUAUCUUAGAAUUGUUUUAGAAACAUAGUGUUUCAUUCAUUUCUGAGUUGAAGUACAUAUAUUCUCAUAAACCUAAAUCAAUGUUUUCACAAAAUUCAAGUUUUCUAAUCCCUAUCUUUGCAUACUGAUGGUUUACAAAUUUAUUAUUUCAAACGUAUUAUUAAACAGUAUAAGGUCUCCGUUGGCGGCAAAAACUCAGUUUCUUUGGCUUUAUCGGACCCUAUUAAAGGUAGUAUUUGUGGAUUUAAAGGAAGGUUUUUAAGUUGUCGAUUUUUCAUUUUAGUACGUUCAAGAAGGAUUUUCGUGUAUUUGGCAAGAAAUGGAGUAUUUGCCACAAACUAUAAUUUUUUAAAAUCCUAUAUCUUUGCAGCUCGAUGGCGAAUACUUUUGAUUUAUCAAACCGUGAAUUAUGCUGGAUGAAAUUAGACAAUUUGAUUUUGUUACAAAGACUUAAGUUCUUUCUUGCCUUAAACUCAAAUUUUCUAAUCCCUAUAUU